UACGUAGGGUGCGAGCGUUGUCCGGAAUUAUUGGGCGUAAAGGGCUCGUAGGCGGUUUGUCGCGUCGGGAGUGAAAAGCUGGGGCUUAACCCCAGUCCUGCUUCCGAUACGGGUGGACUAGAGGUAGGUAGGGGAGAACGGAAUUCCUGGUGUAGCGGUGAAAUGCGCAGAUAUCAGGAGGAACACCGGUGGCGAAGGCGGUUCUCUGGGCCUUACCUGACGCUGAGGAGCGAAAGCAUGGGGAGCAAACAGG
RNAcentral lists this ribosomal RNA (253 nucleotides) under uncultured bacterium. RNAcentral describes it as "partial 16S ribosomal RNA". It matches the Rfam family "Bacterial small subunit ribosomal RNA", at positions 524 to 776 of the family's 1533-position model. The record is from RNAcentral.